GACGAACGCUGGCGGCGUGCUUAACACAUGCAAGUCGAGCGGUAAGGCCCUUUCGGGGGUACGCGAGCGGCGAACGGGUGAGUAACACGUGGGUGACCUGCCCUCAGCUCUGGGAUAAGCCCGGGAAACUGGGUCUAAUACUGGAUAUGACUCCAUGACGCAUGUUGUGGGGUGGAAAGCCUUGUGCGGCUGGGGAUGGGCCCGCGGCCUAUCAGCUUGUUGGUGGGGUGAUGGCCUACCAAGGCGACGACGGGUAGCCGGCCUGAGAGGGCGACCGGCCACACUGGGACUGAGACACGGCCCAGACUCCUACGGGAGGCAGCAGUGGGGAAUCUUGCGCAAUGGGCGAAAGCCUGACGCAGCGACGCCGCGUGAGGGAUGACGGCCU
RNAcentral lists this ribosomal RNA (388 nucleotides) under uncultured bacterium. RNAcentral's name for it is "bacterial SSU rRNA". It matches the Rfam family "Bacterial small subunit ribosomal RNA", at positions 28 to 417 of the family's 1533-position model. The record is from RNAcentral.